AAGAACUUUAAAAGAUAAUGGUGAUGAUAGCGUAGGUGUUCACCUCUUCCCAUUCCGCACAGAGCAGUUAAGCCCUACCGCGCCGAUGGUACUGCCGUAACAGGUGGGAGAGUAGGUCAUUGCCAACC
Molecule: ribosomal RNA, 128 nt
Filed under: Sediminitomix flava
Lineage: Bacteria; Pseudomonadati; Bacteroidota; Cytophagia; Cytophagales; Flammeovirgaceae
Source: RNAcentral